Gymnogyps californianus (California condor) is the source of this 459-nucleotide non-coding RNA. NCBI's taxonomy places the organism in Eukaryota, Metazoa, Chordata, Aves, Accipitriformes, Cathartidae. The record is from the annotation of a RefSeq genome assembly.
AUGCACCUUGGAAAUCUCGUCCUCACUGUCUUCCUGGGGCAACUGCUGGGCACCAUGGGGCAGAUCACCGUCACCCAGCAAGAAGGACAAGUCACAGUGAAGCAGGGAGACACCUUCCAAACAACCUGCUCAUACCAGACCUCCUACUUUCAAGGCUUGCUCUGGUACCAGCAGAGGAAAGGCCAAGGUCCCCAGCUGCUCUCGUCUCAGGCAGCAGCUGGCCGCAAGCCGAGCGGCCGUCUCACCACGUCGCUGAACACCACAGGGAAAUACAGCCUCCUGCAGCUGGAGGAAGUCGAGGUCUCUGACAGUGCCUUGUACCUCUGUGCUGUGCAAGACACUCUGGGAGACCUGGGGGUCUGGAACCAGCCCCCCCCACCUCCUAUGCAAGAAGCAAUGCCGCAGCAGACGAUUCUGUGUCUGCUACCAGCCCAGUUUCCUGCAGGCUGCAAAUGCUGA